AAAAAAGCUUCAAAGGGGGAAAAGUACACAACAUGAGGGCCAUAUUUUGUGGCAAUCUGGAGUUUGACGCUCGCCAGUCAGAUGUGGAGCGGCUUUUCAGAAGAUAUGGGAAGGUUGAUAGGGUGGAUAUGAAAUCUGGAUUUGCUUUCAUUUAUAUGGAGGACGAGCGAGAUGCUGAUGAUGCAAUUAGAAGGCUUGACAGGAUAGAGUUUGGUAAAAAGGGACGCAGGCUUCGUGUAGAAUGGACUAAGGAUCGUGGUAGUAGGAGGCCUGAAAUUUCCAGAAAACCUGCUGCGAAUACUAGACCUUCAAAGACUUUAUUUGUCAUCAAUUUUGAUCCAGUUCAUACUCAGACAAGGGACAUAGAGAAGUAUUUUGAACCAUAUGGUAGAAUAUCAAAUGUUCGAAUUAGAAAGAAUUUCGCGUUUGUUCAGUAUGAGUCAGUGGAUGAUGCUAGCAGAGCAUUAGAAGCAACAAACAUGAGCAAGUUCAUGGAUCGAGUUAUUUCUGUGGAAUUUGCAAUUCGAGACGAUGAUGACAGGAGAAAUGGUCGCAGUCCUGACAGGAGAGGCCGUGACAUGUCGCCUGACAGAAGAGGUUAUGAUCGUCGGCGUUCCCCUAGCCCAUAUAGAAGGGAUAGGGGUAGUCCUGACUAUGGACGUGGAGCACCUCUAAACUCAAGGCCUCAGACCAGGAGAAGUCCUGAGUAUGGUCGAGCAGAAAGUCCCGUCAAUGAGAGAUAUCACAGUCGUUCACCACCUCCGCGUGAGAGGUCUCGAUCUUGAGAGGAAACUUCCAACCAAAGAUUUGAUAAGAAAGAAACACCUUCCAAUUCAAGAAAGAAGCAUCACUUGUUUAUGCUGUCUGUAGGUCUCAUCGUCGUCUGGAAUUUUGAGCUCUAACUUUGGGUAGUCAACCUGCAGAUUUUUACUAUGUUGUACCAUUUUGUACUUUAGUUUGAACUUCAUUUCCAUUGGGUGAGUAUGUUGGUG
Molecule: unclassified non-coding RNA, 992 nt
Filed under: Hevea brasiliensis (rubber tree)
Lineage: Eukaryota; Viridiplantae; Streptophyta; Magnoliopsida; Malpighiales; Euphorbiaceae
Source: RNAcentral